Molecule: ribosomal RNA, 468 nt
Filed under: uncultured bacterium
Lineage: Bacteria
Description: partial 16S ribosomal RNA
Rfam family: Bacterial small subunit ribosomal RNA
Source: RNAcentral
GACGAACGCUGGCGGCGUGCUUAACACAUGCAAGUCGAACGGAAAGGCCCUGCUUUUGUGGGGUGCUCGAGUGGCGAACGGGUGAGUAACACGUGAGUAACCUGCCCUUGACUUUGGGAUAACUUCAGGAAACUGGGGCUAAUACCGGAUAGGAGCUCCUGCUGCAUGGUGGGGGUUGGAAAGUUUCGGCGGUUGGGGAUGGACUCGCGGCUUAUCAGCUUGUUGGUGGGGUAGUGGCUUACCAAGGCUUUGACGGGUAGCCGGCCUGCGAGGGUGACCGGCCACAUUGGGACUGAGAUACGGCCCAGACUCCUACGGGAGGCAGCAGUGGGGAAUAUUGCACAAUGGGCGGAAGCCUGAUGCAGCGACGCCGCGUGCGGGAUGACGGCCUUCGGGUUGUAAACCGCUUUCGCCUGUGACGAAGCGUGAGUGACGGUAAUGGGUAAAGAAGCACCGGCUAACUACGUG